RNAcentral lists this ribosomal RNA (253 nucleotides) under uncultured bacterium. RNAcentral's name for it is "partial 16S ribosomal RNA". It matches the Rfam family "Bacterial small subunit ribosomal RNA", at positions 524 to 776 of the family's 1533-position model. The record is from RNAcentral.
UACAGAGGUCCCGAGUGUUGUUCGGAUUCACUGGGCGUAAGGGGUGCGUAGGUGGUCGGGUAAGUCUGAUGUGAAAUCUCUGGGCUCAACCCAGAAAUUGCAUUGGAUACUAUCCGGCUGGAGGAGUGGAGGGGGGACUGGAAUGCUUGGUGUAGCAGUGAAAUGCGUAGAUAUCAAGCGGAACACCAGUGGCGAAGGCGAGUCCCUGGACACUUCCUGACACUGAGGCACGAAAGCUAGGGGAGCAAACAGG